AUGAGCAUAAGAAAAAAAAGGAUGGAUGGAUUGAUAGAUGGAUGGAGUUUUUGGUACCUUAUUCUUGUCAUUGUCCCUCAGUCCUCCCUUGCUUUCUGCACCAGGUUUGUCUUCUUUAUAUUUCUCUCCCUUGUGUGUUUGUGUCCGUGUUUGUGGGCGAGACUCAAUGCAGCAAUCAACCACCCAUUCCUGAAGGUCGCAUCAGGGAGCCACUACUUAAGAUCUCCAGAUUCCCUUCUCUGGUGUGCUGAGCCUGACGCUGAGUUUGAGAGAGAGUGUUACCUGUAAAUAUUGAAUGUGUGGAUUCCCUACCUCCCUGGACCCACCUGGAGCACUAUUCCCCUGUUGCUUUGUGCCACGGUGUAAAUAUCUAUUCACUGGAAAUAAAAGCACUGAACUGUGAUCUUCUAAACCUUGCAUCUGAGUCCUACCUGCCCAUUAGCCCUGAUAAUUUUAGUGUAUUAUGAGUCUUAGGUAUUUGUAUUAUUGACUUUUUGGGUGUUGUUUCACCUUUAUUAUUUUUCUAAAGAGGAGGUUUUAAAAUUUGAAUUAAAUUAAAUUUAAAUGUAAAUCACACAUUAGUGGAAUUUCCUGUUUCUGUUUCUUUUGCUUGGCUUCUGGCUUUUGAAAAAUUAAGAGGAAGAGAAGAAAAGAAAAAUUGUGUUUGCUAAUGUCAUACUAUAAGCUGUGCACCUGUUUUUUGCUUUAAUUUAAUUUAACUUAAUUUUAGUUUGUCCUUACUGUAAAUCACUAUAUAUCUAUAUUUAUUCCACUUAGGUUUUGGGCUAAAAGGGUUUGGUGCCACCCAUUCUGAUGAAAUCAAUCAGAUGUUAAUGUCAUGACUUCUUAAUGUACCUAUGACCGUAAUGCAUUAUGGAUGAGCCAUUGAUUCCUAAUGGCUGGUUAAUGUAGAGCAUGUGACCAGGCUGUGGUUUCAUGAUAGAUGGAUAGAAACAAACCUCUGUUUUUAGGUCUUUCAGCGCCUCUGUCAUGUUCUUAUACACACACACACACACGCACACACGCAGACACACACACACACACACACACACACACGCACACACACACACACACACACACACACACAUAUGCACAACACAGGCCUGCAAUAUGUUUCGCAAUAACAGACUCUUGAAACACUGAGGGCAUCACUUGAUAACUGCACAUUUUAAUUGUUAUUUAUUAUAUUUUAUAGUAAAAUUCAUAUAACUAUAAAUAGAAAACAUCAAACAUUAUGUGCUUCCUAAAGGUUGAAGGCGCAGAAUACUGAGUACUGAAAUCAAACACCUGUGCAAUUGGAAAUCUUCUUCUUAUCAUUUUUUAUUUUAAGCAGCAGGAAUAAAACCUUAAAGAUGAUGAAAUGACGACGACAGUAUGCUGACUUUAAACUUUACCAGCUCUGGCCUCAUAGCAUCUGCUUUUGUUGUGCCAUACUGGCUCUUUUAAACUGUGUGCUUGUCUUUUGGUGUAUUGCUUGUCACCUUGUCCAUAAAAAGAAUGGGCCAAUCAAACUCCAUCCAAACCUAUUAACUUAUUUAAAACACACUGACU
Molecule: long non-coding RNA, 1551 nt
Filed under: Oreochromis niloticus (Nile tilapia)
Lineage: Eukaryota; Metazoa; Chordata; Actinopteri; Cichliformes; Cichlidae
Description: lncRNA (ENSONIG00000031734.1)
Source: RNAcentral